GACGAACGCUGGCGGCGUGCUUAACACAUGCAAGUCGAACGGAAAGGCCCCUUUCUUGGUACUCUAGUGUUGAACGGGGGAGUAACACUUAAGUAACCUUCCCUUGCCUUUGGGAUAACUUCAGGAAACUGGGGCUAAUACCGGUAAGGAAUCCUUUCUUCAUGGGGGGGGUUGGAAAGCGUCGGCCGUUUUUGAUGAACCCGCUGCUUAUCUGCUUGUUGGUUGGGUAGGGUGUUACCAAGGCGUUGUGGGGUAGCCGGACUGAGGGAGCGACCGGCCACAUUGAGACUGAGAUAAGGCACAGACUCCUAAGCGAGGACGAAGUGGGGAAUAUUGACCAAUGGGCGGCGGCCUGAUGAAGAAAGGCCGCGUGCGGGAUGACGCUCUUAGGGUUGAAAACCGAUUUCAGAAGGGGCGAAGCUUGUGGUGACGGUACCUGAAGAAGAAGCCACGGCUAACUACGUG
Molecule: ribosomal RNA, 465 nt
Filed under: uncultured bacterium
Lineage: Bacteria
Description: partial 16S ribosomal RNA
Rfam family: Bacterial small subunit ribosomal RNA
Source: RNAcentral